Molecule: ribosomal RNA, 207 nt
Filed under: uncultured bacterium
Lineage: Bacteria
Description: partial 16S ribosomal RNA
Rfam family: Bacterial small subunit ribosomal RNA
Source: RNAcentral
UGCGUAGGCGGGUCUUUAAGUCAGGGGUGAAAUCCUGGAGCUCAACUCCAGAACUGCCUUUGAUACUGAAGAUCUUGAGUUCGGGAGAGGUGAGUGGAACUGCGAGUGUAGAGGUGAAAUUCGUAGAUAUUCGGAAGAACACCAGUGGCGAAGGCGACACACUGGCUCAUUACUGACGCUGAGGCUCGAAAGCGUGGGGAGCAAACA